AGUGAACGCUGGCGGUAGGCCUAACACAUGCAAGUCGAACGGCAGCACAGUAAGCGCUUGCUCUUACGGGUGGCGAGUGGCGGACGGGUGAGGAAUACAUCGGAAUCUACUUUUUCGUGGGGGAUAACGUAGGGAAACUUACGCUAAUACCGCAUACGAUCUACGGGUGAAAGCAGGGGAUCUUCGGACCUUGCGCGAUUGAAUGAGCCGAUGUCGGAUUAGCUAGUUGGCUGGGUAAAGGCCCACCAAGGCGACGAUCCGUAGCUGGUCUGAGAGGAUGAUCAGCCACACUGGAACUGAGACACGGUCCAGACUCCUACGGGAGGCAGCAGUGGGGAAUAUUGGACAAUGGGCGCAAGCCUGAUCCAGCCAUACCGCGUGGGUGAAGAAGGCCUUCGGGUUGUAAAGCCCUUUUGUUGGGAAAGAAAAGCAGCAGGUUAAUACCCCGCUGUUCUGACGGUACCCAAAGAAUAAGCACCGGCUAACUUCGUG
Molecule: ribosomal RNA, 492 nt
Filed under: uncultured bacterium
Lineage: Bacteria
Description: partial 16S ribosomal RNA
Rfam family: Bacterial small subunit ribosomal RNA
Source: RNAcentral